CGUAGGUGGCAAGCGUUGUCCGGAAUUAUUGGGCGUAAAGCGCGCGCAGGCGGCUUCUUAAGUCCAUCUUAAAAGUGCGGGGCUUAACCCCGUGAUGGGAUGGAAACUGAGAGGCUGGAGUAUCGGAGAGGAAAGUUGGAAUUCCUAGUGUAGCGGUGAAAUGCGUAGAGAUUAGGAAGAACACCGGUGGCGAAGGCGACUUUCUGGACGACAACUGACGCUGAGGCGCGAAAAGCGUGGGGAGCAA
RNAcentral lists this ribosomal RNA (247 nucleotides) under uncultured bacterium. RNAcentral describes it as "partial 16S ribosomal RNA". It matches the Rfam family "Bacterial small subunit ribosomal RNA", at positions 526 to 771 of the family's 1533-position model. The record is from RNAcentral.